RNAcentral lists this ribosomal RNA (454 nucleotides) under uncultured bacterium. RNAcentral describes it as "bacterial SSU rRNA". It matches the Rfam family "Bacterial small subunit ribosomal RNA", at positions 340 to 786 of the family's 1533-position model. The record is from RNAcentral.
UACGGAAGGCAGCAGUGGGGAAUAUUGCACAAUGGGCGCAAGCCUGAUGCAGGCCAUGCCGCGUGUAUGAAAAAGGCCUUCGGGUUGUAAAGUACUUUCAGUCGUGAGGAAGGUGUUAAGGUUAAUAACCUUAGCAAUUGACGUUAGCGACAGAAGAAGCACCGGCUAACUCCGUGCCAGCAGCCGCGGUAAUACGGAGGGUGCGAGCGUUAAUCGGAAUUACUGGGCGUAAAGGGCACGCAGGCGGUUAAUUAAGUUGGAUGUGGAAUCCCCGGGCUUAACCUGGGAAUGGCAUUCAAGACUGGUUAGCUAGAGUCUUGUAGAGGGGGUAGAAUUCCAUGUGUAGCGGUGAAAUGCGUAGAGAUGUGGAGGAAUACCGGUGGCGAAGGCGGCCCCUGGACAAAGACUGACGCUCAUGUGCGAAAGCGUGGGGAGCAAACAGGGAUUAGAUACC